RNAcentral lists this ribosomal RNA (245 nucleotides) under uncultured bacterium. RNAcentral describes it as "partial 16S ribosomal RNA". It matches the Rfam family "Bacterial small subunit ribosomal RNA", at positions 524 to 768 of the family's 1533-position model. The record is from RNAcentral.
UACGUAGGAGACGAGCGUUGUCCGGAGUUACUGGGCGUAAAGGGUGCGCAGGCGGCUUGGCGCGUCGCAAGUGAAAUCUCCUGGCUCAACUGGGAGGGUGGUUGCGAGACGGCUAAGCUUGAGGCUUGGAGAGGGGCGUGGAAUUCCGGGUGGAGCGGUGAAAUGCGUAGAGAUCCGGAGGAACACCGACGGCGAAGGCAGCGCCCUGGACAAGACCUGACGCUCAGGCACGAAAGCUCGGGGAG